This 301-nucleotide ribosomal RNA is filed under the name uncultured Methanosarcina sp. RNAcentral's name for it is "bacterial SSU rRNA". It matches the Rfam family "Archaeal small subunit ribosomal RNA", at positions 322 to 623 of the family's 1478-position model. Lineage: Archaea; Methanobacteriati; Methanobacteriota; Methanomicrobia; Methanosarcinales; Methanosarcinaceae. The record is from RNAcentral.
CCUACGGGGGGCAGCAGGCGCGAAAACUUUACAAUGCGGGAAACCGUGAUAAGGGGACACCGAGUGCUAGCAUCAUAUGCUAGCUGUCCAGAUGUGUAAAAUACAUCUGUUAGCAAGGGCCGGGCAAGACCGGUGCCAGCCGCCGCGGUAACACCGGCGGCCCGAGUGGUGAUCGUGAUUAUUGGGUCUAAAGGGUCCGUAGCCGGUUUGGUCAGUCCUCCGGGAAAUCUGAUAGCUCAACUAUUAGGCUUUCGGGGGAUACUGCCAGGCUUGGAACCGGGAGAGGUAAGAGGUACUACAG